AUCGCGAUAGCCCAGUUGGUAGUGGCGUCGGCAGUACAGAUGCUGAAGGUCGCAGGGUUAAAUCCUGCCUGCGGUG
Molecule: non-coding RNA, 76 nt
Organism: Phthorimaea operculella (potato tuberworm)
Lineage: Eukaryota; Metazoa; Arthropoda; Insecta; Lepidoptera; Gelechiidae
Source: the annotation of a GenBank genome assembly